This 496-nucleotide ribosomal RNA is filed under the name uncultured bacterium. RNAcentral describes it as "partial 16S ribosomal RNA". It matches the Rfam family "Bacterial small subunit ribosomal RNA", at positions 29 to 507 of the family's 1533-position model. The record is from RNAcentral.
AUGAACGCUGGCGGCGUGCCUAAUACAUGCAAGUCGAGCGAACAGACGAGGAGCUUGCUCCUCUGACGUUAGCGGCGGACGGGUGAGUAACACGUGGAUAACCUACCUAUAAGACUGGGAUAACUUCGGGAAACCGGAGCUAAUACCGGAUAAUAUAUUGAACCGCAUGGUUCAAUAGUGAAAGACGGUUUUGCUGUCACUUAUAGAUGGAUCCGCGCCGCAUUAGCUAGUUGGUAAGGUAACGGCUUACCAAGGCGACGAUGCGUAGCCGACCUGAGAGGGUGAUCGGCCACACUGGAACUGAGACACGGUCCAGACUCCUACGGGAGGCAGCAGUAGGGAAUCUUCCGCAAUGGGCGAAAGCCUGACGGAGCAACGCCGCGUGAGUGAUGAAGGUCUUCGGAUCGUAGAACUCUGUUAUUAGGGAAGAACAAAUGUGUAAGUAACUAUGCACGUCUUGACGGUACCUAAUCAGAAAGCCACGGCUAACUACGUG